UCCUCGAUUGUACAUUGGUGAGUGUCCCCGUCUGUCACGUGGAAGGCCCGGGUUCAAUUCCCGGUCGAGGAG
Molecule: transfer RNA, 72 nt
Filed under: Trichobilharzia regenti
Lineage: Eukaryota; Metazoa; Platyhelminthes; Trematoda; Strigeidida; Schistosomatidae
Rfam family: tRNA
About the family: Transfer RNA (tRNA) molecules are approximately 80 nucleotides in length.
Source: Rfam by way of RNAcentral